This 460-nucleotide ribosomal RNA is filed under the name uncultured bacterium. RNAcentral's name for it is "partial 16S ribosomal RNA". It matches the Rfam family "Bacterial small subunit ribosomal RNA", at positions 338 to 795 of the family's 1533-position model. The record is from RNAcentral.
CCUACGGGGUGCAGCAGUGAGGAAUAUUGGUCAAUGGACGAGAGUCUGAACCAGCCAAGUAGCGUGAAGGAUGACUGCCCUAGGGGUUGUAAACUUCUUUUAUAUGGGAAUAAAAUGUUCCACGUGUGGGAUUUUGUAUGUACCAUAUGAAUAAGGAUCGGCUAACUCCGUGCCAGCAGCCGCGGUAAUACGGAGGAUCCGAGCGUUAUCCGGAUUUAUUGGGUUUAAAGGGAGCGUAGGUGGAUUGUUAAGUCAGUUGUGAAAGUUUGCGGCUCAACCGUAAAAUUGCAGUUGAAACUGGCAGUCGUGAGUACAGUAGAGGUGGGCGGAAUUCGUGGUGUAGCGGUGAAAUGCUUAGAUAUCACGAAGAACUCCGAUUGCGAAGGCAGCUCACUGGACUGCAACUGACACUGAGGCUCGAAAGUGUGGGUAUCAAACAGGAUUAGAUACCCCUGUAGUC